CUGCUAAUAUUUUCAUUGUACUGAUUUUGUCAUAAUCAGAACAGGCUAAACAUUCACUGUAGUAAAACCAUGCAUGUGUUCUCAGAUCUAGUUCUUUCCCUAGAUCUGGUUUUCUAAAUGUGAGUGACAAAC
Molecule: small nucleolar RNA, 132 nt
Organism: Nannospalax galili (Upper Galilee mountains blind mole rat)
Lineage: Eukaryota; Metazoa; Chordata; Mammalia; Rodentia; Spalacidae
Gene: SNORA72
Rfam family: Small nucleolar RNA SNORA72
About the family: U72 is a member of the H/ACA class of snoRNAs. The snoRNA gene is located in intron 4 of the ribosomal L30 protein gene in human, mouse and chicken.
Source: Ensembl